GUUCGGGGUCCCUUAUAUCGACCCGAGCGAUCCAGUAUCCUU
RNAcentral lists this small RNA (42 nucleotides) under Sinorhizobium meliloti 2011. Its description in RNAcentral is "putative ncRNA". Lineage: Bacteria; Pseudomonadati; Pseudomonadota; Alphaproteobacteria; Hyphomicrobiales; Rhizobiaceae. The record is from RNAcentral.